Long non-coding RNA from Herpailurus yagouaroundi (jaguarundi), 518 nucleotides. RefSeq lists it as uncharacterized. Lineage: Eukaryota; Metazoa; Chordata; Mammalia; Carnivora; Felidae. The record is from RefSeq and is a predicted model, not a curated record. The transcript has 3 exons.
GUUGGAGGGCAGUCUGUGUUAGUUCUUCCUAACUCUGAGUGUGUGCACGUUGUGGAGCGGGUGGAGUCUUCCAUCCUCAAAUCUGAAAAGAUUGAGAGAUUUCGGAAGGCCCAGAUGUGCCAAAGGUCAGAAGGAUCAAUACACAGACCCUACCACGGAAAGGUGGUGGGGAGAGAGGCGGAUGGAAAACCGCUGCAAAAGGGAAGCCAAUGAAAGGUCACCUCCUUUCUCAGAUCAGAGCCCCAUCAGAAAUUCUUUCAAGUGUCCUUCUGCGUCGCCAAAGAUGACAACAGCAAAUCAAUAAGUGCUUGAAAUGAAAGGGGUUGUUGGCGAGCCCCCAGGCUACAGAUUUCCCGCCGCCAGCCUUUUCUGAACUCCUAGCGUGCCUUUGCACCGCCUCUCUUAAGAAGAGCUACCUUUUAUUCUUAUUCUCAGGACGAAGGAGCCAUUAGCAUUUCCCACCAGCUGCUCACUUCAGCUGCACUGGCGCUGGGCGAGGCGAAGACCCAAAAGCUCAG